UNGCCAGGGUCUACUGUGCGCCUGAGA
Molecule: non-coding RNA, 27 nt
Filed under: Mus musculus (house mouse)
Lineage: Eukaryota; Metazoa; Chordata; Mammalia; Rodentia; Muridae
Source: RNAcentral